Molecule: ribosomal RNA, 1421 nt
Filed under: Curtobacterium sp.
Lineage: Bacteria; Bacillati; Actinomycetota; Actinomycetes; Micrococcales; Microbacteriaceae
Description: bacterial SSU rRNA
Rfam family: Bacterial small subunit ribosomal RNA
Source: RNAcentral
AGUGCGGCGUGCUUACCAUGCAGUCGAACGAUGAUGCCCAGCUUGCUGGGUGGAUUAGUGGCGAACGGGUGAGUAACACGUGAGUAACCUGCCCCUGACUCUGGGAUAAGCGUUGGAAACGACGUCUAAUACUGGAUAUGACUGCCGGCCGCAUGGUCUGGUGGUGGAAAGAUUUUUUGGUUGGGGAUGGACUCGCGGCCUAUCAGCUUGUUGGUGAGGUAAUGGCUCACCAAGGCGACGACGGGUAGCCGGCCUGAGAGGGAGACCGGCCACACUGAGUGUACUGAAAAACGGCCCACACUCACACGGCAACCAGCAAGCAGAAAGAAUACACAAAGGGCGAAAGCCUGAUGCAGCAACGCCGCGUGAGGGAUGACGGCCCUCCGGGUGUAAACCUCUUUUAGUAGGGAAGAAGCGUAAGUGACGGUACCUGCAGAAAAAGCACCGGCUAACUACGUGCCAGCAGCCGCGGUAAUACGUAGGGUGCAAGCGUUGUCCGGAAUUAUUGGGCGUAAAGAGCUCGUAGGCGGUUUGUCGCGUCUGCUGUGAAAUCCCGAGGCUCAACCUCGGGCUUGCAGUGGGUACGGGCAGACUAGAGUGCGGUAGGGGAGAUUGGAAUUCCUGGUGUAGCGGUGGAAUGCGCAGAUAUCAGGAGGAACACCGAUGGCGAAGGCAGAUCUCUGGGCCGUAACUGACGCUGAGGAGCGAAAGCGUGGGGAGCGAACAGGAUUAGAUACCCUGGUAGUCCACGCCGUAAACGUUGGGCGCUAGAUGUAGGGACCUUUCCACGGUUUCUGUGUCGUAGCUAACGCAUUAAGCGCCCCGCCUGGGGAGUACGGCCGCAAGGCUAAAACUCAAAGGAAUUGACGGGGGCCCGCACAAGCCGCGGAGCAUGCGGAUUAAAUCGAUGCAACGCGAAGAACCUUACCAACACCUGACAUAAAACGGAAACAGCAAAAAAGGGCCCCCCCCUCGUGGACAGUGUACAGGUGGUGCAUGGUUGUCGUCAGCUCGUGUCGUGAGAUGUUGAGGUAAGUACCCCAACGAGCGCAACCCUCGUCCUAUGUGGCCAGAGCGGUAUGCCGGACACUCAUAAGAAACUGCCGGGGUCAACUCAAACGAAAGUGGGGAUGACGUCAAAUCAUCAUGCACCAUACCGCGGGCUUCACGCAUGCUCAACAAGGCAAGCACAAAGCGCGCGAGACCGAAAGGCAAGCGAAUCACAAAAAACCGGACCCAGUUCGGAUUGAGGUCUGCAACUCGACCUCAUGAAGUCGGAGUCGCUAGUAAUCGCAGAUCAGCAACGCUGCGGUGAAUACGUUCCCGGGCCUUGUACACACCGCCCGUCAAGUCAUGAAAGUCGGUAACACCCGAAGCCGGUGGCCUAACCCUUGUGGAAGGAGCCGUCGAAGUGAUCAUUC